Molecule: transfer RNA, 73 nt
Filed under: Alligator mississippiensis (American alligator)
Lineage: Eukaryota; Metazoa; Chordata; Crocodylia; Alligatoridae
Rfam family: tRNA
About the family: Transfer RNA (tRNA) molecules are approximately 80 nucleotides in length. Their secondary structure includes four short double-helical elements and three loops (D, anti-codon, and T loops).
Source: Rfam by way of RNAcentral
UCCCACAUGGUCUAAUGGUAGGGAUUCCUGGUUUCUCACCUAGGCAGCCUGGGUUCAAUUCCUGGUGCGGGAA